GCCUGGGUGGCUCAGUCGGUCAAGCGUCCGACUUCGGCUCAGGUCCUGAUCAGGGUUUGUGGGUUCGAACCCCACAUCGGGCU
RNAcentral lists this transfer RNA (83 nucleotides) under Felis catus (domestic cat). It matches the Rfam family "tRNA". Rfam says of the family: Transfer RNA (tRNA) molecules are approximately 80 nucleotides in length. Their secondary structure includes four short double-helical elements and three loops (D, anti-codon, and T loops). Further hydrogen bonds mediate the characteristic L-shaped molecular structure. tRNAs have two regions of fundamental functional importance: the anti-codon, which is responsible for specific mRNA codon recognition, and the 3' end, to which the tRNAs corresponding amino acid is attached (by aminoacyl-tRNA synthetases). tRNAs cope with the degeneracy of the genetic code in two manners: having more than one tRNA (with a specific anti-codon) for a particular amino acid; and 'wobble' base-pairing, i.e. permitting non-standard base-pairing at the 3rd anti-codon position. RNAcentral also lists the same sequence under 2 other names. The record is from Rfam by way of RNAcentral. Lineage: Eukaryota; Metazoa; Chordata; Mammalia; Carnivora; Felidae.